RNAcentral lists this ribosomal RNA (494 nucleotides) under uncultured bacterium. RNAcentral describes it as "partial 16S ribosomal RNA". It matches the Rfam family "Bacterial small subunit ribosomal RNA", at positions 28 to 507 of the family's 1533-position model. The record is from RNAcentral.
GACGAACGCUGGCGGCGUGCUUAACACAUGCAAGUCGAACGGUGAAGCGCCUUCCUUUUUGGUGGGUGUGGAUGAGUGGCGAACGGGUGAGUAACACGUGAGUAACCUGCCCCCUUCUUCUGGAUAACCGCAUGAAAGUGUGGCUAAUACGGGAUAUUCUGGGUCUGUCGCAUGAUGGGUCUGGGACAGAUAUUGUUUCGGUGGGGGAUGGUCUCGCGGCCUAUCAGCUUGUUGGUGGGGUGAUGGCCUACCAAGGCGGUGACGGGUAGCCGGCCUGGGAGGGUGGACGGUCACACUGGGACUGAGACACGGCCAAGACUCCUACGGGAGGCAGCAGUGGGGAAUAUUGAACAAUGGGCGCAAGCCUGAUGCAGCGACGCCGCGUGAGGGAUGGAGGCCUUCGGGUUGUGAACCUCUUUCGCCAGUGAAGCAGGCCUGCCUCGUUUGUGGGUGGGUUGACGGUAGCUGGAGAAGAAGCGCCGGCUAACUACGUG